AGCGAACGCUGGCGGCAGGCCUAACACAUGCAAGUCGAACGAACCUUUCGGGGUUAGUGGCGGACGGGUGAGUAACACGUGGGAACGUGCCUUUAGGUUCGGAAUAACUCAGGGAAACUUGUGCUAAUACCGAAUGUGCCCUUCGGGGGAAAGAUUUAUCGCCUUUAGAGCGGCCCGCGUCUGAUUAGCUAGUUGGUUGAGGUAAUGGCUCACCAAGGCGACGAUCAGUAGCUGGUCUGAGAGGAUGAUCAGCCACAUUGGGACUGAGACACGGCCCAAAAUCCUAAGGGAGGCAGCAGUGGGGAAUCCUGCGCGAUGGGCGAAAGCCUGACGCAGCCAUGCCGGGUGAAUGAUGAAGGUCUUAGGAUUGUAAAAUUCUUUCACCGGGGACGAUAAUGACGGUACCCGGAGAAGAAGCCCCGGCUAACUUCGUG
Molecule: ribosomal RNA, 434 nt
Filed under: uncultured bacterium
Lineage: Bacteria
Description: partial 16S ribosomal RNA
Rfam family: Bacterial small subunit ribosomal RNA
Source: RNAcentral